AAUUGUAUCUGACUCCCCAAAGAGUUACUUUGACUUUCAGAGGUGACAAUCUCACCACCAGAGGCGGUCAGUCAUCAUGGUUUUAUAGGGUUUGACCACAAGCUGCCCUGGGGGAUUCAAAAGGAACAGGAGACUACUCCAAUCAAUCCCAAAGAGUUCACCACCUAGGCCACACAUACUUCUAUAUCAUGCCUGGAAAACAUCAGUUAGUAUCAAAGAAGAUCCUAGGUGAAGAAUCAAUGAAAGGCACUCACCAUUUAUAGCCAAAUGGUGUUAACCAUGAACAUUGUGAAAGAUGCUGAGGGGUGAGCUGGCCAUACUACUCGCUCAUGUCAUAUUAUCAGUAGUUUAUGGAAGUUUUCUCACUUGUUUUAUUUAUGCUUAUCCCCUCCCAUUUCUCUCCCCCAUUCUACAUGAGUAAUCAUUCUCAUUUGUUAAUGUAUACAUCUUUGUAUGUGUUCUUGCAAAAUAUGCAUUUUACAUGUAUGCAUAUCUUGUAAAUAAAC
Long non-coding RNA from Canis lupus familiaris (dog), 506 nucleotides. RefSeq lists it as uncharacterized. The transcript is spliced from 3 exons. The record is from RefSeq and is a predicted model, not a curated record. Lineage: Eukaryota; Metazoa; Chordata; Mammalia; Carnivora; Canidae.